UACGGAGGGUGCAAGCGUUAUCCGGAUUCACUAGGUUUAAAGGGUGCGUAGGCGGGUUGGUAAGUCCGUGGUGAAAUCCCCAAGCUUAACUUGGGAACUGCCGUGGAUACUAUCAAUCUUGAAUAUCGUGGAGGUAAGCGGAAUAUGUCAUGUAGCGGUGAAAUGCUUAGAUAUGACAUAGAACACCAAUUGCGUAGGCAGCUUACUACACGAUCAUUGACGCUGAGGCACGAAAGCGUGGGGAGCAAACAGG
RNAcentral lists this ribosomal RNA (253 nucleotides) under uncultured bacterium. Its description in RNAcentral is "partial 16S ribosomal RNA". It matches the Rfam family "Bacterial small subunit ribosomal RNA", at positions 524 to 776 of the family's 1533-position model. The record is from RNAcentral.